GCACAAGCGGUGGAGCAUGUGGUUUAAUUCGACGCAACGCGCAGAACCUUACCAGGGUUUGACAUCCUGUGCUCGACUCCGAAAGGGGUUUUCCCCGCAAGGGGCGCAGAGACAGGUGCUGCAUGGCUGUCGUCAGCUCGUGUCGUGAGAUGUUGGGUUAAGUCCCGCAACGAGCGCAACCCUCGCCUUUAGUUGCCAUCAUUCAGUUGGGCACUCUAGAGGGACCGCCGGCGACAAGCCGGAGGAAGGUGGGGAUGACGUCAAGUCCUCAUGGCCCUUACACCCUGGGCUACACACGUGCUACAAUGGCGGUGACAGUGGGCAGCCAACUCGCGAGAGUGAGCUAAUCCCAAAAAACCGUCCCAGUUCAGAUUGCACUCUGCAACUCGGGUGCAUGAAGGUGGAAUCGCUAGUAAUCGCAGAACAGCAGGCUGCGGUGAAUACGUUCCCGGGC
This 454-nucleotide ribosomal RNA is filed under the name uncultured bacterium. Its description in RNAcentral is "bacterial SSU rRNA". It matches the Rfam family "Bacterial small subunit ribosomal RNA", at positions 923 to 1379 of the family's 1533-position model. The record is from RNAcentral.